UACAGAGGGUGCAAGCGUUAAUCGGAAUUACUGGGCGUAAAGGGCUUGUAGGCGGUCAUAUAAGUUAGAUGUGAAAACUCCGGGCUUAACCUGGAACGUGCAUUUAAUACUGUAUGGCUAGAGUAUGGUAGAGGAAAGGGGAAUUCCCGGUGUAGCAGUGAAAUGCGUAGAUAUCGGAAGGAACAUCAGUGGCGAAGGCGCCUUUCUGGACUAAUACUGACGCUGAGGAGCGAAGGCGUGGGGAGCAAACAGG
Molecule: ribosomal RNA, 253 nt
Filed under: uncultured bacterium
Lineage: Bacteria
Description: partial 16S ribosomal RNA
Rfam family: Bacterial small subunit ribosomal RNA
Source: RNAcentral